Molecule: ribosomal RNA, 497 nt
Filed under: uncultured bacterium
Lineage: Bacteria
Description: partial 16S ribosomal RNA
Rfam family: Bacterial small subunit ribosomal RNA
Source: RNAcentral
GAUGAACGCUGGCGGCGUGCCUAAUACAUGCAAGUCGAGCGAACAGACGAGGAGCUUGCUCCUCUGACGUUAGCGGCGGACGGGUGAGUAACACGUGGAUAAACUACCUAUAUGACUGGGAUAACUUCGGGAAAACGGAGCUAAUAACGGAUAAUAUAUUCAACCGCAUGGUUCAAUAGUGUAAGACGGUUUUGCUGUCACUUAUAGAUGGUUCCGCACCGCAUUAGCUAGUUGGUAGGGUAACGGCUUACCAAGGCGACGAUGCGUAGGCGGCCCGAGAGGGUGAUCAGCCACACUGGAACUGAGACACGGUCCAGACUCCUACGGGAGGCAGCAGUAGGGAAUCUUGCGCAAUGGGCGAAAGCCUGACGGAGCAACGCCGCGUGAAUGAUGAAGGUCUUCGGAUCGUAAAACUCUGUUAUUAGGGAAGAACAAAUGUGUAAGUAACUAUGCACGUCUUGACGGUACCUAAUCAGAAAGCCACGGCUAACUACGUG